This 845-nucleotide long non-coding RNA is filed under the name Carica papaya (papaya). RNAcentral describes it as "long non-coding RNA (CPAP_LNC016490)". Lineage: Eukaryota; Viridiplantae; Streptophyta; Magnoliopsida; Brassicales; Caricaceae. The record is from RNAcentral.
AUGUAUAUUAAAAAUAUCAAAUGCGGAAGCGAAGUCAAAAUUCGAUUAACAUCCCUUACACUAAAACCAAAAACGUGCUCAAAAUAUAAAAGAUCAAACUAACUAAAAGAGAGAUUCGAAAGUAAACUAUGAAUAUGACUUUGGAGUCUUUAGGCGUCCCCUUCGUCGUCUUCUUGCGGAACGGGCUCGGGAACAAUGUCUUCCUGAUCUGAAAUGAUUAAAUAAGGAAUGAGCUACACUAGCCCAGUAAGGACAUCACGAUAUCUCACCGUCACGGAGAUAAAGGUGGGUAGAAAACACAAAAAGACCAAUGGAGCAUAAUUUACAAUAAACUCAUUUAUCAGUAAUAAAACCUUUUACCAUUCACUUACCUCGGUGAAAUUCAUAAAACAAUAUACGAAAGCAAUAACAUUAUCAUAAUCAUGAAAUCAUAUAAACUGUGUAACAUAAUACUCAUCACGCCCUUGCAAUUCAAUCAUUUCACAAUUACUUUUCCUCAUUCACCAGCCUACUAGUAUCCAUGGGGAUCCAUAGGGGUCCCGCUACCCGUUACCCUUAAUACUUGUAAUCAGAUUCCAGGGUCGUCCCCAUACCCCAUCCGGUAUGGGCGCCAAAACUGUAAACCUCAAUACCCCGUCCGGUAUGAGGGUGAAACGGGCCGUCCCCAUACCCCGUCCGGUAUGGGCGCCAAAACACAUAAGAUCCCCAUACCCCGUCCGGUAUGAGAGACCACAAUCCCGGUAGGGUCCCCUACGGACCCGGUCCAUCCACCAUCUCCCAGGAUAUCUAGUCAGGCUGACCCCAUUACACAAUUAUCAAUUUAUACAAUCUUCCAUUCUUCUUUC